This 301-nucleotide ribosomal RNA is filed under the name uncultured bacterium. RNAcentral describes it as "partial 16S ribosomal RNA". It matches the Rfam family "Bacterial small subunit ribosomal RNA", at positions 509 to 808 of the family's 1533-position model. The record is from RNAcentral.
CAGUAGCCGCGGUAAUACGUAGGUCCCGAGCGUUGUCCGGAUUUAUUGGGCGUAAAGCGAGCGCAGGCGGUUAGAUAAGUCCGAAGUUAAAGGCUGUGGCUUAACCAUAGUACGCUUUGGAAACUGUUUAACUUGAGUGCAAGAGGGGAGAGUGGAAUUCCAUGUGUAGCGGUGAAAUGCGUAGAUAUAUGGAGGAACACCGGUGGCGAAAGCGGCUCUCUGGCUUGUAACUGACGCUGAGGCUCGAAAGCGUGGGGAGCAAACAGGAUUAGAUACCCCAGUAGUCCCUGUCUCUUAUACA